CAGCCGCCGCGGUAAUACAGAGGGUGCGAGCGUCAAUCGGAUUUACUGGGCGUAAAGCGUGCGUAGGCGGCUUCUUAAGUCGGAUGUGAAAUCCCUGAGCUUAACUUAGGAAUUGCAUUCGAUACUGGGAAGCUAGAGUAUGGGAGAGGAUGGUAGAAUUCCAGGUGUAGCGGUGAAAUGCGUAGAGAUCUGGAGGAAUACCGAUGGCGAAGGCAGCCAUCUGGCCUAAUACUGACGCUGAGGUACGAAAGCAUGGGGAGCAAACAGGAUUAGAUACCCCAGUAGUCCCUGUCUCUUAUAC
Molecule: ribosomal RNA, 301 nt
Filed under: uncultured bacterium
Lineage: Bacteria
Description: partial 16S ribosomal RNA
Rfam family: Bacterial small subunit ribosomal RNA
Source: RNAcentral